GCUAUUAAUAGGUUAAGGCAAAAACCGUGGCGUUGUGAUCGCCAAAAUUAUGUUUUAUAUUUUAGCU
This 67-nucleotide transfer RNA is filed under the name Arion ater ater. Its description in RNAcentral is "tRNA-His". The record is from RNAcentral. Lineage: Eukaryota; Metazoa; Mollusca; Gastropoda; Stylommatophora; Arionidae.